This 496-nucleotide ribosomal RNA is filed under the name uncultured bacterium. RNAcentral's name for it is "partial 16S ribosomal RNA". It matches the Rfam family "Bacterial small subunit ribosomal RNA", at positions 28 to 507 of the family's 1533-position model. The record is from RNAcentral.
GAUGAACGCUGGCGGCGUGCCUAAUACAUGCAAGUCGAGCGAACGGACGAGAAGCUUGCUUCUCUGAUGUUAGCGGCGGACGGGUGAGUAACACGUGGAUAACCUACCUAUAAGACUGGGAUAACUUCGGGAAACCGGAGCUAAUACCGGAUAAUAUUUUGAACCGCAUGGUUCAAAAGUGAAAGACGGUCUUGCUGUCACUUAUAGAUGGAUCCGCGCUGCAUUAGCUAGUUGGUAAGGUAACGGCUAACCAAGGCAACGAUGCAUAGCCGACCUGAGAGGUUGACGGGCCCCACUGGACCUGAGACAGGUUCCAGCCCCCUACGGGAGGCGGCGUUAGGGAUUCUUCCGCAAUGGGGGAAAGCCUGACGGGGCAACGCCGCGUGGGUGAUGAAGGUCUUCGGUUCGUAAAACUCUUUUAUUGGGGAAGAACAUAUGUUUAGGUAACAGUGCCCAUCUGGACGGUACCUAAUCAGAAGGCCCCGCUUACCUCCUG